This 82-nucleotide transfer RNA is filed under the name Bacteroidales bacterium. Its description in RNAcentral is "tRNA-Leu". It matches the Rfam family "tRNA". Rfam says of the family: Transfer RNA (tRNA) molecules are approximately 80 nucleotides in length. Lineage: Bacteria; Pseudomonadati; Bacteroidota; Bacteroidia; Bacteroidales. The record is from RNAcentral.
GCAGAUGUGGCGUAAUUGGUAGCCGCGCCAGACUUAGGAUCUGGUGUCGAGAGACGUGGGGGUUCGAGUCCCCCCAUCUGCA